UUUAGGUUUAUGAUCCUUUUUUUUUUUUUGAGACAGGGUCUCACUCUAUCACCCAGGCAACCAGGCUGGAAUGCAGAAGUAUGGUCAUUGCUCAUUUCAGUCUCAAGCUCCUGGGCUCAAAGGAUCCUCCUACCUCAGCCUCAAGAGACAGAGUUUAGUUUUGUUGCCCAGGCUGGAGUGCAGUGGUGUGCUCAUAACUGUCUGUAGCCUUGACCUCCUGUGCUCAAGUGAUCCUCCUGCAUCAGUUUCCCAAGUAGCUGGGACUACAGAAGACAACAGAAGAUGAAGGCUUUGGCUCUGGGAAAAGAGUUACCUGGAUACUGAUCCUGAUGUCUCUCACUUAAACUCUCCAAGUCUUACUUUCUCAUCAGCUAGUACUUUAAUCAGCAUUUAAUGACCCAGUCGAAAAUUCAUCGUUUGGACCCAAGCACUGGUGGGAAGGCAGGAGGGGAGGCCUGCCUGCCUCCCUCCUUCCCUUCCUCCUGAGCCCUACAGCAGGCCAUGGAGUGGUAGGCUUGGCCCAUUCUCUAGACCUUGGAAGAUAAUGUUCCAUAGAGGCCUGUUCUGAGGCUUUACCAGGUCAAAGCAGAGAAGAACCAAGCAAUGUAACUCAUCCCAGCCUAACUAUCCUUCAAGGGCAAUCAACCUACAGCAUCCAAGCACAGAGAAAUCAAAUCCAUGGAGAAUCUUUCAAUUAGGCUCAGAAUUUAUUUGGGACACUGGAUUUACUGUUAUCAAGAUCUUAGUUGAUUUGAUCCAUGAUUUGACCUACUUUAGAGUGAGAAGAUAGUCUUCCUGGGCUCAGACUAGUUGAAGGAACAAUCAUGUCAACUGUACCCCAAGAAACAUGAAAAGCUCACCAAGGACAGCUUUGAAGUGGUCACUCUUCAUGGCCCUGACCGGGCCCUGGAGUAAAGGACACCAGCUUGGUGUGCUGACCUGAAAGACAUGAGUCUGGCAGUGAUAGGGCCCCUGGGAGCAGAAACCAGAGACAGGCACCCACAGCAAAGGCAUGCAGAGUCCAGAAAGCCCCAUCACUCAGCCUGAGAGAGCUGGGGCAAAAUAGAGGGCCUCAAGACUCUAGAAGAGACGUUUCAUAAGUCUCAUCAAAUUAAAGACUAAUUAGAAAAAAAAUUCAUGGGAAAUCAUUGAAAAACAAGUAAACCAUCCAAAGCCUGAGAUUGUUUAAAAACAGCUUAUUGGAAGUCCAAAGACUGGACAAGUUGAGGAAUAAAGAAAACAUCUUAUGUGAUGAGAUGGUGACUUUAAAGCGACUUCUGUGGCAAAGAGGCAUCCUUUGCAAAUGGGAAGAUUGGCCAAGCUCAGAGAACAGGGUUUAGGUAAGUUAAUGGAUGACAGCACCAUAAAAGGUUAUUAAGGGGAACCUGGCUCUGCUUAGGAGCUGCACUUGUGAUAUCUGGGGAAUGACUGCACAUUCCCAAGGCAGGAUCCUUGUGUCCUACCCGGAGAUAGACAAUGGGCCCAGAACCCAGAAAGAAGGAGGCACUGCUGGGUCUCUGGUUAUUUCUAGGGGUCCUCCAUAUGGAUGUGAUAGUCCACUUCAAUUUUUCUUUUUUUUUUUGAGACGGAGUCUUGCUCUGUCACCAGACUGGAGUGCAGUGGUGCGAUCUUGCCUCACUGCAACCUCCACCUCCCAGGUUCAAGUGAUUCCCCUGCCUCAGCCUCCUGAGUAGCUGGGACUACAGGCAUGUCCCACCACGCCUGGCUAAUUUUUUGUUUUAGUAGAGAUGGGGUUUCACCACAUUGGCCAGGAUGGUCUUGAUCUCCUGACCUCGUGAUCCAUCCUGCUUUGCCUCCCAAAGUGCUGGGAUUAUAGGCAUGAGCCACCAGACCUGGCCUCAAUUUUUCAAAGAAAGAAAAAAGGAAAAAUGCUCAGACUCAUGCUGAAUUUUUGGAAAGUCGAUUUUCAAAUGCGUCUGUGUUUCAGGUUAGAAGAGUUAUGAAAGAAAACGCAGGAGGAGCAUAGUGGAUAGCCUUCAUCACUGGGUUCCAGACACUGCUUGAGUUCAGGUCCCACCCCACCACUGCAUAGCUGGGUGACCUUAAGCAAGUUACUUAACCUCUCUGUGCUUCAGUUUUCUUCCCUCUGGAAUGGGGUAAUAUUACUUUGCUGGCUUAUGAAAAUGAAAUGAGUUAAUAUGGUAUAUGCUUAGAAUAGUGCAUGGCCUAUGGUGAGUGCUCAGUGUCUGCUUAGGUUGUUGUUACUCUCAAGAAAAGGGCCAAGUUGCAUUAGUUCCCACUCCCUUCCUGCUGAUUAACCAAUGAAGGGUGGCUUUGGGAACAUAAGAGAGGAGUCAGGGCAGGCAUAUGUGCCUCUUACUUUCCUGGAGGAGCCCCAGUGAGGAGGUCAAGUGCCCUGGUCCUGGUUCUAAAUCCACUGUUUAGAGUAGCAAGUAUAUUUGAAGUGGAGAUUACCCCUUUGGCCGCAAAGAUUCAGCUAGGUAGGGGACAAGGAGUGACUGUGUCACUAUAAAGUUAUCUACAUAGGUAAUCUGUGCCUCCCAAAACAUUUUGAUUAGAGAACAUUGUGCUUAGGAGGGAUGCUCCCUCUAGGCCAUGGGAACAAAUAGGUUUGAGCUCUUUUGUAUAUACCAUUGCUUGAUAACAGCUGUGGGCUAUAUCCUAUUGGGGAUUCUGAAUCCACAUCCGAAUGUUGGGGAAAGGGUGCCAAGAUCAAACAGUGAUGCAGGCUAGGAACACAGGAUACAGGAGUGUCAGCACUGGCUGGAAAGUAAAAAACCCUGUCUGCCCAUAAUAGCCUGGCCAGAGGUAGCCUGGGUUCCUAGAUAUGGCAUCCACAUCCCGAGCAAUGGUAAGGCAAAAUGACUUCUCUGCCCUCCUCCACCAGGCCUGGCAGCCCUGGGAGCUUCUCCACUCCUGGGGUCACCUCCCAAAUCCUUAUCUCAGAAUCUGCUUCUGCCAAACUAAGGCAGAGGUUAGCUGGCUGCACCACUUUGCGUUACUGAAGCGAGAUAAUUGCCAACACACUUGCCCACCAGAAAGGCCAUAUGUGUAUCUAUCUGGCUAUGUAUCCACCUAGCAAGGCCUACACACAGCCCAGAAAGAAUCAGAACAUUUGCAUCUUUAGGAAGAAGUUCCCUCCUCCAGCUCAGGAAAUUGUCCCUGUACCCCCCACCCAGAAAAUCUUGUAGCCUGUGAUGAGAUCGCUCUCUCUGGUUCUCUCUCACCAGCCGUCUGUUCCUAACAACCCCACCCACGCACCGGAGCUUCUCUGACUUGAUAUUGCAGGAUGCUGUCACUUGAAAUUAAUUGCAACUAAUUAAAAAUGAUCCGGUUAGGACAAUUGCACAAUGGUGCUCCGGAGACUGCUUCAUUCCCAGAGGUUUGGUGGCGUUUGCGGCUGCUGCAGCCCUGGUCUGCUGGACGGGGCCAUACAUCAUUGUGUCAUUUUACAUUGUUAUUUCUCUGAAAGCAGCAAUUUAAAAGAGUCUCAGAUGAACCUUGAGCAACUUCGUGCUAAAAAGAAAAAUGUUACUGUCCAAGAUCUGUAAAAUAUAACAUAUAGGCUCAAAGAAGCCUCUUGACAUGAAAGGCGGCCCUAAGUUUGUGCCACGAUUUGCAUAUCAUAUAUAAUGUUGUAGUAAAAGGACCCACAAAGCAGAAGGCAGCUGCGGAGCAUCGAUCCUCAUCCCCUUUGUUCAAACUGGGUCACCUACUGUCCCUGGUUAUUAUUUUAUCACAGCCAUUCCUCACGUAAGGUGACAGGACAGCAUCUAACCUACUGGGUUCCGAGGACUGCCACACCUCCCCCUUAUUUAGUAGAAGACCCAAGGGUCCUUCUUGGCUCUGAUUCUGAAAGCAUUGCAGGUCCUGCUUCGUCCUGCCAUUUUCCAAGCUGAUCCCAGGAGCAGUAGUCCUGUUAGGAAGAGCCAUUUAUUGGACUUGUGUAAGGCCCAGUAAACCUCGAGUUAGGGCAUUGAACCUCGAUAAGCAUCCAGAAUGCCCCCAUACCUCACUAGGAGGGACUUCAGGCAGCUUAAAUGAAUUCUGGCCCUAUGUUCUUGAGCUACAAAUCAUUCCUCUUAGGCUACCUGCUGCCUCAUCUAGCUCUGUGGUCUCCAUGGUGCCCUUCAAACCCCUCCACAUCAACAGGACAGGCGAGAAGCAGGCAUUUGAGCAGAAAGGGGUAUGUCCCAAAAGCAUCUUCCAAAAUUAUUCUUCUAAUCCUCUGGCUCAUUCUGCAACUUUAAAAAAUGAGCUGAUUUUCAAGGGUACCAAUAAGAAUAACAAAUCUCUGCAAAAUAGAAAGGUUCAAAAAUAAAAAAUCAAGACCUUUAAAAUGAAAGGUCCAGGAAUAGAAAGGACUAGACAGAAGAGAUGAAAGGAGAAAGAAUAGUAAAGAGAUAUGCAGAUAAAUCUUAUGUAAUUACUAAAAUUUGACUCUGGGCUUCCUGGAGGCCAAAGCAAAGAAGGAAGGACCCACAAAGACAUAUGAUUAAUUACAUAUGAUUAAUUACAAAUGUUACACACAGACCAGCUCCUUAACAGAAUCAAGGUUCUUUUGCAUUGACCUCAUUUGGGUCAUGUACCUGACAUCGCCCUCCACACACCCUCAUACUUCAGUCAAGGGUAAGGCUCGUGGAGCUCCCUGCAUUGGAAAUGGAUGACCUGGCAAGCCAACUGUCUUGGAAAUCCAGGAGAUUUGCAUCACGUAUGUGGUUCACUAAUGGAUGGUUUCAUUCAGGGGUGAGACUUUAAUACUGGAAAAGUGCAAGGACUAACUCCAACCUGACCAUCGAAUUAUUUUCCAUACAAAGUGUUUCUUUCAGCUCUGCUUUUAUUGGAAGCUGAGCAGCAGACAGUUUGAGGUUAUAGUUUCAAAGACUGGAAUGCAAGUAUUCAAUAUGCCUGAGAAUUGGAUUUAGAUACAUCAAACAUAGCGCAUCUGUACAGUGGGAUACUAUGCAAACAUCGAUAGGAACAAGGGAGACUUCACAUGCUGUUAGGAAAGGUUAAGAUACAGUAUUAAGUGGGGAAAAAAGCAAGUUGCAAAACAGUGGGUAUAUUAUUAUCCCACUUGUAUCAAAAAUUAAUAAUAAAGCAUGUGGGUACAGAAAAUUUCUGGAAGGAUACACAAAAAUUGGUAAGUGUUUAACUUUGGAUGAGAAUUUUACAGCUUACCCAAGCCCUCCUUACUAUAAUUAUGUAUUGCUUUUUGAUAUGGUUUGGCUCUGUGUCUCUACAAAUCUCACCUUGAAUGUAAUAAUCUCCACAGGUUAAGGUGGAGAUAAUUGAAUCAUGGGGGCAGUUUCCCCCAUGAUGUUCUCAUGAUAGUGAGUGAGUGCUCAUGAGAUCUGAUGGUUUUAUAAGGGGCUUCCCCCUUCACUGGACUUUCAUACUUCUCCUUCCUGCCAUCAUGUGAAGAAGGAUGUAUUUGCUUCCCUUUCUGCCAUGACGCCUGCUACCCCUUCAAGCUAAGAUGUUUUAUGCUGGAUGCCUCAAGGAAGAGAGGACAGCAGGAAGAAAUGUCCUGACUUUUGACUUUUAAAAGCCUGGCUCAAAAUGAGAAGAGUGAGGGGCAGGAAAAAGGGCCCAGGGAAAGAAGUAAAAAAUAAUGUAUGAAAAUAUCUCACUGCCAAGACUAGCAAAUGGGGACCUGGGAGGGUCAGAGGGGAGAAUCUGAGAGGACCAGGACUGGCCCUGGAGGAACUGUGCUUGGAGCAGAGACAGCAUCCAGGGAGCUCUGAACUUCCUCUUAGAGAAGCUGAGUCAGCACUCCUGGUCCACAGAGUCUCUGUCCAAAGGUUAAGAUGUGGAUCAAGAAAGGCUGGAAGGCUGCAGGACUUCAGGAGGGAAUGUGGGAGGCUGCUCAGCCUGGGACACUAUUGUUUAAUGGUUUGAACCCAAACACUGGGAGCACUCAACAGAAAUCUGUUGUGGUUUGGCAACAGCAGGUAGGUGUUUCCAGAGCUGAUCGGAUCCCUCUCUACCCUCCCCCUCUCUCUCUACCUGCUUCAGCCUUUGCUGUCACUGCCCAAGAUCUUUGCUCCUCAGUCUAUACAGCCUACCAUGGCUGCUCUCAGACUUAUACGUCCUUGAUUUAACACCCAAAGCCAGACUGACUUCUUUCUCCAUUCUCGGCCCCUUAUUCCUGAGGCCAUUUGUGAUUGGCCCAGCUUGGAUCAGGUAGGUACCAAUCAGGCAUUCAUCCCUGGACCAAUCUGUGGCACAUGGGGCUGGAGUCCAUUGUAUUAAGUCUGCAGAUACCAGGGUAAUCUAUGAUGGGAGUGAUGGGGUGGACGGGGUGGUCUCUGAAGGGAAAGCCAUGACCAUUCCCCUUGGCUUUCACUCUACUCUGCCUACCAUCUUACCUCUGCCACCGUCUGCUCCUCGUGCCUGCCUGCCUCAUUCAGUCUAUUUUUUUUUGGAGAAGGAGUCUCACUCUGUUGCCCAGGCUGGAGUGCAGUGGCACAAUCUCUGCUCACUGCAAUCUCCGCCUCCUGCAAGUUUUUAUUUUUAUUGUGUAUUUUUACACAAUAAGAGUUUUUAUUUCAUAUUUUUCUUAAUACAAAAGCAACAUGCAUGCAUUGUAGAAAGAUAGACUCUUACGUGCCAAGAAGCACAAGUCUCUUGGAUUUAGAAAUCAAAAAAGACAUGGUCCAGAGAGGGAGGUGAACAAGUAACUCAGUGACAUUCGUACUGAACGUUGUGAUUGGGCUUGUCUACUCCACUGAAGGGCGAGGCACUCGAGAGAAGAGACAAUAUCCACCGCAGCAUCUAAGUAGUUCAAAAUAGGGCAUAGGUUUUCUGUAAGCACUUGCCUGACUUAAUGAAUGACUGUGCCCUGAGGCUCAGCCUUGCCAGGGUGGCUGGGAAAUCCACUCAGCCUGGGACAGGAUUGUUUAAUGGUUUGAACCCAAACACUGAGAGCACUCAAUACAAAUCUAUUGUGGUUUGAUAAGAGUAGGUUGGUGUUUUCAGAGCUGACUGCAAGAUCAGUCUAAGCCCCUGUGGGCAACAACCCCCAAUCCAAGCCUGAGUCUCCUGGACUGUGUUCAGGUUUGGGAGAGUUUAAGGGUAUUUUCCCAACUGGAGCCCUCUUUGGGUCUCCAAGGCACCCUGGAUCUGUUUCCAUUACAGCCCCCAUUAGCCUCCAGGGGCUCUUUCUCAUUCACAGCUUGGUUUUCCUAGUAGGCAGAGAGCCAGAGAAGGCAAAGACCUUUUCUUGUUCACCCCUGUGUCCUUGAGAGCUUCCUUCCAGAGAGAGGAAAGAAGGAAGGGAGGCAGGGAGGAAGGAAGGGAAGAGCCAAUCUGCUCUUGUACACGGUGAAAAGUGAACCUUUUCCCAAGGCGCACAAGCUCCGCCCCUCUUGAGGGUGGUGCAUGUGUCCCCCAUCUUUUGCAACUGUCAGAUGUGCACGGCUCACAGCUCAGCUCUUCACUGGACAUUGCCCUUGGCUGCAGGGAACUGCUUUGCCCAAAGUAAUGGCUCUAUCUGUGUGGCCUGUGGCCAGUGACUGGCAGAUGGAGACACAAAGGCCAACCCUUUGCUUCAAUUGAGGACAACUCUGGGGGCCAUCUCAGCUCCAGAGCAUCCUCCAAGACUAGAUGAGGUAUCUGCUGCAAUGACAUUUGGGGUCACUUUCCCUCCUCCCAGUCCUGUCUUCUCAGUUUUCUUACAGAUGUAUCUCCUGAGAGCAUUCCCCAAUAUACCUGAAUGCACCUCCUUCUCUCAGUGGAUCUUUCCAAUCGAAGACACUCACCUUGCAGACUCUGGGUGCCCGCAGGAUAUCUGGAGCCUCCACUAAAGGCUGUGUUCACUCAUCCACCUGGGAUAACCUUUCCUAGAGACCAAGGAAGCUCUGCACACUGUUCUCAACACCAGACCAUAUGAGGCUGAGGGAGGGGCGCUGGAAUUACAGAAUCUGGAAGCCCUGGGUUCUGCCACUGGAGAGCCAGGUGACUUGGGCAACUCCAUUCACUCCUUACACCCACAAGGUUCUCAAAUGCAAAACAAGGAGAGGAAUUUCCUACCUCAUAGGGUUAAUUCAGAAUUCAUAAGUGAAUGGGAUUUGCACAGUACUGGGCACAAAGUAGAAAUACACGAGUGUGAAGAAAGUUUGGCUUUCAGAGCCUCCUGGCCACCUCCAGCUCCCUGCCUCCCUCUAUCCCUGCCCUCUUUCCACACAUCAUUCCAGGACACGUGUGGCCAGCAGCAGAAGGGCCAUCUGACCCCCACCAAGAGGCCUGUGGCUUUGGAACUAAUAUUACUUUCUUUGGGUCUCCACAUCGACUUGGCAUAGUCUGAAAUGUAAGUCAUCCCCCCUUCUCCCCUCUCCCUCUCCUCUUUUUUUUUCUCUUUCUGUCUUUCUUUUUCCUUUUUCUUGCUGAUUUUAUGAAAAGGGCUGGCAUUUUGAUUGUUCUAUUUUCAGGUUUAAUCCUUAUUUUAAUAAAGUUUUCACACACACACACACACACACACACACACACACACACACACAAAGUAAGUCAUGGCCUGGCAUGGUGGCUCAUGCCUAUAAUCCCAGCACUUUGGGAGGCUGAGGUGGGUGGAUCUCUUGAGGCCAAGAGUUCAAGGACAGCCUGGCCAACAUGGUGAAACCCUGUCUCUACUAAAAAUAUAAUACGCCAGCUGUGGUGGUACAUGCCUGUGGAUCCAGCUACAAGAUGGGAGAAACACUUGAACCUGGGAGAUGGAGGUUUUAGUGAGCUGAGAUCAUGCCACUGCACCUCACCCUGGGCUGCAGAGCAAGAUUCCAUCUCAAAAAAAUAAAUAAAUAAAAAGAUAAGUCAUGCCUGCUGUUCCCAUGGCUUCCUGUCCUCCUCAGGGUCUAACAGUUGGAUCCCCUCUUAUUUUUCUGACCCUUUUCUGCAACUGAGUCUCUUAAUUUCCUCCCACAUCAGCCUCUAGCUGUGUAUCACGCACACCAGACAGACUCCCACCUGGGGUCUUUGCACUUGCCACCCCCGCAUCCUAGAAGAGCUUUCCACCCAGCUCACUCUCUCUUCCCCUUCAAGUUCUUACCGAAGGUCAGAGAGGCCUUUCCUGACACCCCUGUCCCAUUAAAAAUAGCAAAACUCCCUGGCCCUGCCUAUCCCAACUCUCCAUUUCAGCACUCCUCACCAUCCAACAUGCAUGGAGUUUCUUUAUUCACUGCUUGUCUUUCUCCAUUGGAAGAGAGGACAGGGAUCUCUGCUUGUUUUGUUCUCUGCUGUCUCCCAGUACUUACAACGGCAUCUGGCAUGAAAUAUAUGCCCAAUAUGUUUUGUUAAGUGAAUGAAUGAACCUGUUUGUAUGCUUCACAGGCAGGUGAAACUGAGCAAAGCAAAUCCACUAGUGAAACCAUAGCAAAUUGAUGCUAGCCCCUGGAAAAGGAGAGAUAAAAGUCCCCAAGCUUGCCUGGAAUCAAAAGUUUGUCAGAAAACCAAACACUGCAUGUUCUCACUCAUAAGUGGGUGUUGAACAAUGAGAACACACAGACACAGGGAGGGGAACAUCACACACUGAGGCCUGAGGGGUGGGGGGCUGGGGGAGGAAUAGCAGGGGGUGGGGGGAUUGGGGAGGGAUAGCAUUAGGAGAAAUACCUAAUGUAGAUGACAGGGCAAUGGAUGUAGAAAACCACUACCAUGGUAUGUGUAUAUCUAUGUAACAAACCUGCACGAUCUGCACGUGUACCCCAGAACUUAGAGUAUAAUAAAUAAAUUAAUAAAAUAAAAAUUAA
This is a non-coding RNA of Callithrix jacchus (white-tufted-ear marmoset), 9722 nucleotides long. Lineage: Eukaryota; Metazoa; Chordata; Mammalia; Primates; Cebidae. The record is from RefSeq and is a predicted model, not a curated record.